Molecule: ribosomal RNA, 2930 nt
Filed under: Isabelozyma heimii
Lineage: Eukaryota; Fungi; Ascomycota; Pichiomycetes; Serinales; Metschnikowiaceae
Description: bacterial LSU rRNA
Rfam family: Bacterial large subunit ribosomal RNA (bases 549-2855)
Source: RNAcentral
UCUAUAAUAUCUGUUAUAGCAGGAUUAAAAAGUGUAUUAAUACAAUUAGAAAAUGGAGAAAAUGAAGAAUUAGAAGUACAAGUUACUCCUGAUUUUAUUGAAUCUAAUUUAACUAGAAAUGUUAGAGAUUCUGAUUUAGAAUUAAUUUUAGAAAGACCAGCUAAGUACCAUACAUUUAAUGAGUUACCUAUCUUAUCUAUGUAAUAAUAUCCCCUAUUUUAUAGGGUUUAUCUCUUCUUUAUAAGAGAUGAUAUAUAAUAUAUAUUCAUUUAAUCACUUUAAUAGAAGUAGAUAUAUCCCUUCUCUUCGAGAAGGGGGUAAAUCCUAACCCACAGUGUGGGUUAGGAAUAUAUAUUUUCUAAGAAAAGAGGUUAAUCUCUUUUCUUCUUAGGGGGUUAAUCUAUUUAAAAUAAUAGAUUAAUUUUUCUAUUUUUGACCAUUUAGAAAGAUUUAAAUCUUAAAAGGAGAAGUAUUGAAAAAUGGUAUAUAAAAUAAAUAUUAUUUUAAGGAUUUUAAAACUAAUACUAUAAAUUGAUAAAAAGGUUAAAAAGAUAACCAAUCAUAUCAUGAAAAUGAGAAGUAAUAAAUCAAGUGGAAUGAAACAUCUGAGUAACUUGAGAGUAAUCAACAGAGAUUAUAUAAGUAACGGUGAGUGAAAGUAUAAUAGUCUUUAAGUAUCAUCUAGAGGUGAGAAUAAAGUAGUAUCUACUACUAAGACAAAAGAAUAGUAUUAAGUAAAAGUACCGAGAGGGAAAAAAAGUAAAUAGAAUAAUAAAGAGCAAUCAUAGUAUGGUGUACCUCUUGUAUAAUGGGCCAGUGAGUUAUAUAUAUUAGCGAAGUAAAUUAUAAAUAAAUUGAAUAAAUAUAUUAAAUCAUAAUAUUAGUUAAUAUAUAUAGGCCCGAAAGCAAACGAUUUACAUAUGUCCAAGUAUAUUUAUAUAAAUAAAUAUGACUGAAUAGGUAGAUGUAGCAAUAUCUUCUAAAGAGAUGUAUGUAGUAGUGACAGGCAAACCUGGUUUGCAGAUAGCUGGUUUUCUGCGAAAUAUAUAUUAGUAUAGCCUUUAAUUUAGUAUUAACUGGUACAGCACUUAAAUAUUUUUGGGGAAUUAGAUGAUAAUUUUAUCAAAAUGUUUAAAUCUCGGAAACAGUAAAUCAUAUAUUAAGGAGUCAGACUUAUUGCGAUAAGGUAGUAGGUCUAAAAGGAAACAACCUAGAUUAUUUUAUGUAUGUCCCUUAAUUAUAUUCAGUGAACAUAAUCUAUUGAUAAAUUUAUAAUAUAUAUAUAUAUUAUAUAUGAUAGACAAUCAGUCAGCGGGUUUGACAAUAAUCAACUGUUAAUGGACAUGUAACAAUGUACUGAUUUAAUAAUACCCUUAAGGGUAUAUUUCCUUUCUUUAAGAAAGGAUAUCAAAGAUAUAGAGAAAAUAUACGGGUCUAAAUAUAAUACAGAAUAAUAAAUAAUAAUCCCCUUUCAGGGGUAUUAUGGUAGCAGAAUAUAUAAUAAAGAAUAAAUUAUAAAGAAUAUGCUGGCUUGAGUAACGAAAGAUAGUAAAAGACUAUCCUCCAAAUUAUAAGGUUUUAUAAUAAACAAACGGUCCCUAAGAUAAAUAUAGAAAUAUAUAAUUAAUGGGAGAAAGAACAAGAAAAGUAGAUGAACCGUACUGUAAACCGACACAGGUAUAAUAAAGGAGAAUGAGACAACUACUAUGAAUGAACUCGGCAAAAGUAGCAAAAAGCUUAAAGUCGUGCGACUGUUUACCAAAAACAUAGCUUACUGCGGAUUAGAAAUAAUUAGUAUAGUAAGUGAUAUCUGCCCGGUGUAUGUUUGAAUAAAUAUAUAAUUAUUUAAAGAUAAUAAUAUAAAAAAUAUAUAAACGGCGGUCUUAUUCUGAGGAUCCGAAGGUAGCGAAAUUCAUUGACGCAUAAUUGGUGUCCUGCAUGAAUGAAUACACGAUGCGACAACUGUAUCCAUAGUAGACUCAGUGAAAUAGCAAUCGCGGUGAAGAUGCCGUGUACCCGUAGUUUGACAAAAAGACCCUAUGCAGCUUUACUAUAUCUUUUUUUUGAUUAAUUUAUUUUUUAUUUCAGUUAAUUAGGUUAUAUUUUAUAUAUAUAUAUUAUUUAUAAUAUAUAUAUUUAUUAAAUAAAUUGAGAUACCUAUAUUAAAAAUAUAAUAAUCUUAUUUAUAAAUUAUAUAAUUAUAUUAUAUAAUGUUGAAGACAUAGAAAAGAAGUUAGUUUCGAUGGGGCGUCGACAUCAGAGAAAGCAUCUGAUGUGUCUAAAUAUAUUAAAUAUAUUAAAUAUAAUAUUAUUAUAUAAUAGAUUAAAACGUACAAUAAUUUUAUAAUGAGAAUAAAAUAUAAAUGUAAGGAUAACAACAUAAUUGUGCGAUGAUAAUAACACUAACAAGUGGAAUUAGUACAUAAGUAGAGUGUAGUGAACAGGCAUAUACAAUAGAUAUGGAUGUCGAUAACGGAUUAAAGUUACGCUAGGGAUAACAGGGUAAUACCGCGUGAGAGUUGACAUCGUCAGCGGUGUUUGCCACCUCGAUGUCGUCUAGACUCAUCCUCCUGGUCGUAGCAACUAGGUAGGGUAGGACUGUUCGUCCUUUAAAGAGUUACUUGAGAUGGGUUAAUUACGACGUGAGUCAGUAAUGAUUUUAUCAUCUAUGGGUUAUUACUUAAUUAUUGCCUUACGUGUACGAAAGGAUUUUAAGGUACUUUCCUAUGGUUUAUUAUUAUAUUAUAUAUAUAAAAUAUAUAAUAUUAUAUAUUAGCUAAGAAAGUUAAGGAUACAUAUUGAAUGCAUAUUAAAUAUUAAACCUAUUAAUUAAGUAAUUUAACAUAUUAUAUUAAUAUGUUAUAGUAAUAUACUAUUAUAAAUAUAGUAUAUAUACUAAUAUAUAUAAAUUAUAUACCAUACAAUAUUUA